UGCCCGGUGACCUACGGGUUAAACGGCCGCGGUACACUGACCGUGCAAAGGUAGCACAAUCACUUGCCUUUUAAUUGGAGGCUGGUAUGAAUGGUUUGACGAGGGCUGAGCUGUCUCUUCUGGAAUAUUUAAAAAUUAACUUCUAAGUGCAAAGGCUUAGAUUUAGCUGAGGGACGAGAAGACCCUGUUGAGCUUUAGUGUGGAAUAAAAGGUUUAUUUUUAUUAGAAUAGAAGGUUUUGAGUUUAUUCUUACAUCUUUAGUUGGGGUGACUAGGGAACAUGGAAAGCUUCUCUGUUAAUUUGUAGAAAUUUGGUUUACUGACGAGUGAUCCAGCAUUGCUGAUUAUCGGAAAAAGUUACCACAGGGAUAACAGCGUAAUCUUUCUGGAGAGUUCACAUUGAAAGAAGGGUUUGCGACCU
RNAcentral lists this ribosomal RNA (420 nucleotides) under Haliotis cracherodii (black abalone). Its description in RNAcentral is "partial 16S ribosomal RNA". It matches the Rfam family "Bacterial large subunit ribosomal RNA", at positions 1860 to 2526 of the family's 2925-position model. The record is from RNAcentral. Lineage: Eukaryota; Metazoa; Mollusca; Gastropoda; Lepetellida; Haliotidae.